Molecule: ribosomal RNA, 407 nt
Filed under: uncultured bacterium
Lineage: Bacteria
Description: partial 16S ribosomal RNA
Rfam family: Bacterial small subunit ribosomal RNA
Source: RNAcentral
AUUGAACGCUAGCGGGAUGCCUUACACAUGCAAGUCGAACGGAGUGGCGAACGGGUGAGUAAUGUAUCGGAACGUGCCCAGUAGCGGGGGAUAACUAAGCGAAAGCGUAGCUAAUACCGCAUACUAUUGGAGCGGCCGAUAUCGGAUGAGCGAGUUGGUGGGGUACCGGCUCACCAAGGCGACGAUCCGUGGCUGGUUUGAGCGGACGACCAGCCACACCGGGACUGAGACACGGCCCAGACUCCUACGUGCGGCAUCAGUGGGGAAUUUUGGACAAUGGGGGCAACCCUGAUCCAGCCAUCACGCGUGUGCGAUGAAGGCCUUCGGGUUGUAAAGCACGUUUGGCAGGAAAGCGGUACCUGCAGAAUAAGCACCGGCUAACUACGUGCCAGCAGCCGCGGUAAUAC